AAUUUAGUAUUUUUUUUUAAAAAAAAUUAGAAAACUCAUUCAAUAUAUAUAAGUAUGUAAUUAUGAACUCCACAGUAAUGACCAUUAUGCAUUGCAACAUUAUCUGAACUUAUUACUUUCUAUGAAAAUCAUAUAUCUAUCUAUAAAUAUUCAUUAAAAUAUAACUUAUUUUAUAUUAUAAUGAUGUUUGAUCAAUGUACUCUAGAUGUAUUUUUUCCAAUAAUCAUAGUGUGUAGAUCAGCUCCUGUGCACCUUGACUAUUUCAGCACCGAAUUGAUACGCGUGUGCCCAUUGAAAUCACGGUUGGUCUUCUUUCUCUUCGAUUUUUAACUCUAUAAAAUGCAGGGUUUAAAAUGAUCAACGUUUCAACUCUGUUUACUAGAUUGGAGAACUUAAGAAACAGGUUGAAAUCACGCACCUACCAAGGUUCCAGGCUGAGAAUCUUGAGCAGAACAAAAUCUUGUACGAGUGGAUUUGUGAAAUGGCAGCAAAUAAGGGAUGUACCCCUUCUCAACUGGCGUUGGCGUGGGUACAUCACCAAGGAAACGACGUGUGUCCCAUCCAUGGCAGCUGUGUUGUCAUCAUUCUUCUGUCCGCUACUUUCCCCUUUGCUCCUUUUUAGAUUUGGACAAUCUCUUUUGAAGUAUCUUGGUUGAUCGCAAUUGUAGUAAUUUCUGGCCUUUGAUUUUGAUCGGACCUUGGACGUUCCACGAGCUCUGAAUCUACCAUAGUUACUUGAUCUCCUUUGGUAUCUUCUGCCUCUACUUUCCGUGAUGAGAGUCUGUUCGAGAUUUUCAGACAUUUUUCUCAUCUUCUAAUUAAGCAAAAGGGCUGAUGUGACAUUCUUCAACUCAAUAGAGUCCUUACCAUGUAAAAUGACUGUUGCUAAAGUAUCGUAGGAAGAUGACAACGAAUUUAGGAGCACUAUGACUUUAUUUUCAUCCUCGAUCUUUACUAAUAUAAAUGCAUUGAGAUGGAUGCCACUAAUAUUGGGCUCGAUGUUGACUUCAUUCAAUUGGAAACUUAAGGCAUGCAUUGAGCCAAAAGACUUAAACAUGGAGGAGAAAUUUGGUGCCAUCAUAGCCAAAGCUCAUCCUUUGCGAGCUAUCCCAUCUCCUCUUUGAAAUCGCGUAAACUUUAUAAUAAAUACUUAUCUAGUAUCGAUUGUCUUAUUAUGUCCACAAUUACCAACUACCACUCUAUUCAUCAUCACUUUAUCAACAAUCACCACCCACUACCAUUAGUGACGUAACCUUUUGUUAUAUAUAAUAAAUUGAAAUCACAACUCAAAGGUGUUUGCGACCUGUUCAUACCUUAUUUUAUAUAAAACGGUUUCAUGUUCUUGAUUGA
Long non-coding RNA from Solanum lycopersicum (tomato), 1350 nucleotides. RefSeq lists it as uncharacterized. The record is from RefSeq and is a predicted model, not a curated record. Lineage: Eukaryota; Viridiplantae; Streptophyta; Magnoliopsida; Solanales; Solanaceae.